UACGUAGGUGGCAAGCGUUGUCCGGAUUUACUGGGUGUAAAGGGCGUGCAGCCGGGCUGACAAGUCAGAUGUGAAAUCCCGCGGCUCAACCGCGGAACUGCAUUUGAAACUGUCAGUCUUGAGUACCGGAGAGGUCAUCGGAACUCCUUGUGUAGCGGUGAAAUGCGUAGAUAUAAGGAAGAACACCAGUGGCGAAGGCGGAUGACUGGACGGCAACUGACGGUGAGGCGCGAAAGCGUGGGGAGCAAACAGG
RNAcentral lists this ribosomal RNA (253 nucleotides) under uncultured bacterium. RNAcentral's name for it is "partial 16S ribosomal RNA". It matches the Rfam family "Bacterial small subunit ribosomal RNA", at positions 524 to 776 of the family's 1533-position model. The record is from RNAcentral.